This is a long non-coding RNA of Lactuca sativa (garden lettuce), 4953 nucleotides long. RefSeq lists it as uncharacterized. The record is from RefSeq and is a predicted model, not a curated record. Lineage: Eukaryota; Viridiplantae; Streptophyta; Magnoliopsida; Asterales; Asteraceae.
CAAAAACGAAUCUUGGAAAGGAAGUGGUCCAAAUUCCUCAAAGGUGAGCCUUUGACUAAAUUGAUGAGUCUCUUUCAUAUCCUUUUGACUGAAAAUCCCGGAUUUAAGGCUAUUAAGAGGAAAUUGUCAGCAUUGGAACUUCACCACCAAGAACCACGAUACUACCCUCACUAUUCAAUUGAGUCCUACCCCUUUCUCCUUGCUAGAAACCGCCAUCCCACCCCACUGCCGCUGCAGGAGCUCCUCCCUCCACCACCAUAACCCAACCACCCAUCUAGUGCUCAAUCAUACCCACCCUCCAGUCACCUCUACUGUCUUCGUUUUGGUUUCAUUGUUAAAGAAAAAAAAAACAAGAUACCACCACCACUAAGGGUGGCCGAGAACCAUCUUCAUCUCAAUCAAGAACCAGCACCGGUGGUCUUGAACCACCGUGUUGCACCACCAGACACCAUCCAACCUCAUCCUACCUCCUACUCCCUCCCUCUCGACGAUCUGUUGUUCAUAAAAUGAAGAAGGGUACCAGAACUGCUAAGGGUUGCCACCCACGACCACUUACCACCGCCACCACCGGAGCCAUUGCCCCUGCUGCUUUUCAUUCACGAACUCGACUGUUUUGUGAUCACCACCAACUCCUCCUUCUUCCCUCGUGUCAUUCCCAACAAAUGUAAGCAAGGACGAAGUAGACUGGAGCAGCCCUCGCAACUGCGUUUGUAGACAACAAUUACCCAUCACCGCCGCUGCCAUUUACUUCCGAAGUCACCACCACCGACGACUUCACCACUGUUUCUGCAUUCGACCACCAUCGCCGCCUCCGCAAUUUAAUUUCCAUCAUCGAUGAUGCCGGCCAAGGCCAAGAGACCCAACGAGAAACCCAAUUUCCGUCUUAACGGCACCUGCAACUCGUCAAUUGCAAGAGACGGCUACUGUUCAAACUCCCACACAUUUUAUUUAAAUGUAAUUUAAAUACAACCGGUGAUUCGUUUUAAGAGCAAGGAGCGUCACGAAAUGACUUUCACGACAAGUUUCACCCUCGAGAUUCGUCCACGCUUCAAGGUUAGCAGAGAACCUGUAAACUCUCACCAACCUUGUGUUUACCCUCAAACGAGCUUUCAGUCAGAAGAUCAGUCAUGGAUUUCAGGCGACCUAGAUUUAUGUAGCUUUUGUUAAAUCGGCCUAUCUAUUAAGGCAACUUUAUGAAUUUCUUAUUAUGAACUUUGUAUUCAAACCUUAAAGAGUAAUGUAAUUGCUAUGUUGUUAUUGUUGUAACUUGUGAUGUAUAUUUAAUUUGCUAGUGAUCCAUGAACUAAGCCGCACAGCCCGGUGUAUUCCGCCGCCUCGGCCGGGGCGUGACAGAUUUGUAUCAGAGCUAAAUUGGCUAUAGAGAACUCGUAUCCUCGAAAGAGGAAAUACAACUAUAGCUACAGGCUCCUAAUAAAAGUAUUAUUAAUAAAUAUACUACUUCUCAACUGCUCACGAGAGAGGCAACUGGUUUGAAGGUCCGCUAGGGUUGCUGGAUUUCAAAACAGCUUAAUCGCCAUAAUGGUUAUGGCCCCCGGUGUUUCAUAUAUGACCCUCGUCUGUGAUUUGUAGUCUUGGAGUACAAACCAAAAUUUAAUAAUACUACAAACCUGACCAACAAUAAUUUAUAAGAGUUAUAUAUACUCUGGCCCGCGAUGAGAACACUUAAUAAAACUUCUGACUACCUUCAACUAAGGCUACUAACUCAGCCCUUUAGGUCCAAAGCCUCAACUAAGGUUGGUAGCGUACAUAGGUCAUACCAUAAAUAAAACUAGGAACGCGCGCCUUUGUUAUUUAUGGUUAGGCUGGUGAACAACCAACCUUGAGCGACAAGUUUGACAGACUACAAUGGUUGACAGUUUUAGAGAUUGAAGGAUGUUCUCAAGACUCGAUAGAGAUACCUAAUACCUAAACUCCUUGUAUCAACUCCCAGACAACAUAUACAUAAAAAAAUCAUAAAAAAACUUAAAUAUCUGGGAUGACGUCCGAAUUUCCUGAUAUACCUAAAUUCGAAGAAGAAUGAACAACCAAUAACUUUGUAAAAAAGAGAAGCCCAUAGUUCCUAGUAGAUCGUUCGGUAGCCUCCAAACUUCUAUCUCCCCUAUCUCCCAAAGAUGGCGAAGAUUCUUUCGAAGACGAACCAUUUAAAGAUCGAAGAUGAGAAAGCAGUUGAAGAAAACCUGAAAGGAAAGGGACUAACAGAUGAGGAGUUCACCAUCGAAAAGCCACCAAUGUACUACCUCUACUGAUUAAUUUCAGGUGGAUGCUCUAUAUGGACACUCCUAAGGAGAGGAUUCCACCUCAUCCCCAAUGUGAUACUUAUGCCUAAAGGAAGCAAAUGUCAUCACAAGAGUCAGAAUGAUUCACAAAUACUCUGAGAGAGAACUAAUAGUCUCAAGGAACAAGAAUAUGACAAGUUAUCAUUCCCCAAGUCCGUUCUCGCCUAUCGAAAAGUCUAUCAAUAAAGUUGUGUUUCUCCCAAUUGAACGAAGUGUUCGAAUUAAGCCAACAAAUCGAAUCUAUGAUAGACAACAUGAAUAUGUAGAAUACGUCACUCACACUCUAAGCCAAAGAGUCAACUCAAGAAAUAAGAAUAUGAUGAAAAUUGGAUUACCCGUAUACUAUUCCAUCAUAUCAAAGAAAGGUCAUUACCCAUGGUCACAAAAUAUAUACUGGAUUAUAGAGUCCAACUGACCUAAAGCAGACUAGGAAUCAAAUGAUUCUAACAAAUUAAAGGUUGCGUGAAACUCAUAAUCAGAUUGAGGAGCUAGCCAACCUACUAAUUGGAACUUUUAAAUAUCUAACAAGUUUAUCUAGGGCGAAUAGUACCCUUAGGUUAAGGUCAGGAAUCAUGGGAAAAUAGAUUAUAUGCAAACAUUUAUCCCUUCUAUGUCUCUCAGUGAAUGAAGCUUUUUCAUUACUAACCCUGCCCAUGUUUGGAAACUGAUGUAACAAGGUGUAACUAAAAUGAAAGUGUUUAUGCCAUCGAGUGUUUCAAAGGUCAUAAAUAUUAUCACUCCCCGCACUAUAAUUUGGAAAUCUAUGGGGUUUCAAGAAUCGAUCCCUAUUUCUCUAUCGUUUGGAAUCGGUAGGAUUUCAAUUCCCUCUUUAUCAUUUAAAUUGGCAGGAUUUCAACUCUCCCUCUAACAUUUGGAAACAUGUAGAGUUUCAGAAAUCGAUCCCUCUCUCUAUCAUUUUGAAAUUCGAAGGAUUUUAGGAACAAGUCACACUAACACACCGUCAUAUAAUACGACUUAUACAUGCUCGUUUAUAACUAAAUUGUUAUCGUUACAUUUCCAGUCAUCAAACUUCAUUCAUCUGUGCUAUUUGAUUAUGGUAUCGAUAGAAGCUUCAUUGACCAUGAGUUGAGAAGCAUGCUAAGCCAUAAAUCCUUCAAUGGCCAUGUAGAAGGCAUCUUAGAGAUACUUACCAAUUUCCUCCUCACCUUGAAUAACCAUGUCUCUCACGUCAACCUAAUACCCAUGACCAUUGGAAGUUUCGAUGAGAUUAUCGAAAUGGAUUGGUUAUCCCCACUAUGAGUCGAAGUUCUAUGCUAUGAGAAAGUCAUCCGAUUGCCCAUACCCAACGAAGAAAAUCUUGUGAUUUAUGGAGAUAAAUUAGGGAAGAAACUAAGAGCCAUUUCCUGCGUGAAGGGACUAAAGCGCUUACAAAAAAGAUGCUUCACUUUCUUGGCCCACGUGAUGGAUAUGCAAGGCAAGGGUAAGGAAAUAAAAGAUAUUCCAUAAGUGUGUGAUUGCCUGGACGUAUUCUCAGAGGAUCUACCUGGACUACCUCCAGUCAAGCAGGUGGAAUUCCAAAUCGACAUAAACCAGGGUGUAGCGCUAGUGGCAAUAUCUCCUUAUCACCUGGCACCAUCAGAAAUGCAAGAACUAUCCUGUCAACUCCAAGAACCAAUUGACAAAGGCUUUAUCUGGCCAUGCUUUUCACCUUGGGAGCUUUGGUGUUGCUUGUCAAAGAGAAGCAUGGAUCGUUCAGGAUAUGCAUCGACUAUCAAGAGUUGAACCAAUACCUACUGCUGAGGAUCGAUGACAUGUUCGACUAGUUGCAAGGACCCCACUACCACUCGAAGAUCGAAAUAAGAUCCUGAUAGUUAGUUUUUUUUACUUCUUUUUAUAGUUUAUUUUAGCAUAUUUCAUUCAUAAUUUAGAUAAUUUCCAUGCAUAUUUUCCUUAUUGUUAUUUUAUGACUAUUUCGGGUACUUUCGAAUCUUGUGAGCAUAAUUACAGGUUUUCGGGUCUAGCGGAGCGGGAGUGUUCGGGACGUAUGGGAAGCGAUGGGAUUUGGUAGACAAAAAGGAUGUUAGGCUUGGUGAUUGUGGAGAUGAUGCAUGGAGCGAGCUUGAUGAUUAUUUGAAGGCUUGGAGAGAAAUAAACUUUAAAUUUGCAAGAUGCGGGAGUUUAUUCAAGCGUGCGUAGAUUAUUAACCGGGCGAGUUUGGAGGAUUUGGAGAGGCCAAAUUGGGCUUAAAAUGAAGAAAAACUUGAAGAAAAUGGGCUAGGAGGUGAUUGGAUUCGAUCUGGGCUAGUGGGAUAUAUUUUGGAGGCCCAAAAACUCAAAGAAGCCCUUGUCAGGCACCACCCGCGCAGCAGCACGCGGGUCGCGCAAGGCCCUGCAAGAGCAUUUCUGGGAAUUCAUGUUUUAAGCUAUAUGGGGAAGGUUGGUUCCUAUAUUUUGCAUACACUUGGACAUCCUAUUUUUGUAGAUUCUCUCUGGAGUCUUGAAGACUUUUGAAGGCCAAGAACACCUCAAGAACAUCAUCUUUUUACCUCUUGAUUCUUGCUUAAUGUUUGGUACAAUCUUCUCUAACUUUGUUUCUUUGGGUUUAGCCAUGCUUGGCUAAACUAAUCUUGGUUGACUUUUGGUUAAUCCUUUGAACUUUUGUUGAAUGUUGAAGGAUCCAUGAACAUGUUCUCAA